This 254-nucleotide ribosomal RNA is filed under the name uncultured bacterium. Its description in RNAcentral is "partial 16S ribosomal RNA". It matches the Rfam family "Bacterial small subunit ribosomal RNA", at positions 524 to 776 of the family's 1533-position model. The record is from RNAcentral.
UACGCAGGGCGCAAGCGUUGUUCGGAUUUACUGGGCGUAAAGGGCGCGUAGGCGGCAAUUCAAGUCACUUGUGAAAUCCCCGGGCUUAACUCGGAACGGUCAAGUGAUACUGCUUUGCUAGAGUGCGGAAGGGGCAAUCGGAAUUCUCGGUGUAGCGGUGAAAUGCGUAGAUAUCGAGAGGAACACCUGAGGUGAAGACGGGUUGCUGGGCCGACACUGACGCUGACAGCGCGAAAGCCAGGGGAGCAAACGGG